CGUUGGUUGGCCGGCCGGUGGUGCGGCCAGCGUGAGGCGACCGUCGGCAGGAGGGGAGACGAUCCGGCGGCAAGAGGAGGCCAAACCGGUGGUCGGCGGUGACCACCGGCGACAGAAAAACGGCAAAAAAGGAAGAUUUUUUCGCAACAAAAUUCGGCGACUCCGGUCGCCGGCGAGCAUGCACAUCGGCACGGAAAGGAAGGGAGA
This 207-nucleotide long non-coding RNA is filed under the name Elaeis guineensis (African oil palm). Its description in RNAcentral is "long non-coding RNA (EGUI_LNC000188)". Lineage: Eukaryota; Viridiplantae; Streptophyta; Magnoliopsida; Arecales; Arecaceae. The record is from RNAcentral.